Long non-coding RNA from Dreissena polymorpha, 780 nucleotides. RefSeq lists it as uncharacterized. The record is from RefSeq and is a predicted model, not a curated record. NCBI's taxonomy places the organism in Eukaryota, Metazoa, Mollusca, Bivalvia, Myida, Dreissenidae. The transcript is spliced from 9 exons.
CAGGUAGAGGAAUGUCUGCGACUAAGCCGAGGGCCACUGGAUAAGGGUUGUUGAUGGUAAAACAGGUUAAAGACUACAUGAUACUUUGACAGAUGGCGGGAAACCCUCAUCCACUGGUACGAACCCGGUAGAGGAAUGUCUGCGACUAAGCCGAGGGCCACUGGAUAAGGGUUGUUGAUGGUAAAACAGGUUAAAGACUACAUGAUACUUUGACAGAUGGCGGGAAACCCUCAUCCACUGGUAGAGGAAUGUCUGCGACUAAGCCGAGGGCCACUGGAUAAGGGUUGUUGAUGGUAAAACAGGUAGAGGAAUGUCUGCGACUAAGCCGAGGGCCACUGGAUAAGGGUUGUUGAUGGUAAAACAGGUAGAGGAAUGUCUGCGACUAAGCCGAGGGCCACUGGAUAAGGGUUGUUGAUGGUAAAACAGGUAGAGGAAUGUCUGCGACUAAGCCGAGGGCCACUGGAUAAGGGUUGUUGAUGGUAAAACAGGUUAAAGACUACAUGAUACUUUGACAGAUGGCGGGAAACCCUCAUCCACUGGUACGAACCCGGUAAAUUGAUGGCUGUAAAACAGUGACCGCUGAUUCGCAUCGAGUUCUUUCUUGCAAAACGCAUGACCCCCCUUUUUUAUUGUCUAAAUCAUUGCGGCUUGGAAUGCUCUUUAAGAAAAGGUAUGGUUAUGGGGGUCUCUAUGCGCAAAAGUUUGACUUUAUUUUUUGUUGAAGUUAUUGCUUUUACAUUGAAUUUGUGUAGGAAAUCUUUUGGUAUAUUGUAACCUAUA